CCCUGCCUUUUGUACACACCGCCCGUCGCUACUACCGAUUGAAUGGUUUAGUGAGGCCUCGGGACUGGCGCGCCAGAGCAGCAAUGCACUUGCGCGCCGGGAACUUGGUCAAACUUGAUCAUUUAGAG
RNAcentral lists this ribosomal RNA (128 nucleotides) under uncultured eukaryote. Its description in RNAcentral is "partial small subunit ribosomal RNA". It matches the Rfam family "Eukaryotic small subunit ribosomal RNA", at positions 1651 to 1778 of the family's 1831-position model. The record is from RNAcentral.